This 503-nucleotide ribosomal RNA is filed under the name uncultured bacterium. RNAcentral describes it as "bacterial SSU rRNA". It matches the Rfam family "Bacterial small subunit ribosomal RNA", at positions 28 to 525 of the family's 1533-position model. The record is from RNAcentral.
GAUGAACGCUAGCGGCAGGCAUAAUACAUGCAAGACGAACGGUAAGUUUGGUAGCAAUACUGAACCUAGAGUGUCGUACGGGUGCGUAACACGUAUGCAACCUACCUUUUACAGGAGUAUAGCUCCCCGAAAGGGGAAUUAACCCUCCAUAAUAUCAUUGGAUGGCAUCAUUUGAUGAUUAAAACUGAGGUGGUAAAAGAUGGGCAUGCGUCUGAUUAGUUAGUUGGCAGUGUAACGGACUACCAAGACGAUGAUCAGUAGGGGACCUGAGAGGGUGAUCCCCCACACUGGCACUGAGAUACGGGCCAGACUCCUACGGGAGGCAGCAGUAGGGAAUAUUGGACAAUGGGUGAGAGCCUGAUCCAGCCAUGCCGCGUGAAGGAUUAAGGCCCUAUGGGUUGUAAACUUCUUUUAGACGGGACAAAACCCCUUUACGUGUAAAGGGUUGAUGGUACUGUCAGAAUAAGCAUCGGCUAACUUCGUGCCAGCAGCCGCGGUAAAGA